GGGCCUGUAGCUCAGGGGUAGAGCGCUCGCUUUGCAUUUUCUUCAAAAGAUGGCGUUUGCGAGAGGCCUAGGGUUCAAAUCCCUACCGGUCCA
Poronia punctata is the source of this 93-nucleotide non-coding RNA. NCBI's taxonomy places the organism in Eukaryota, Fungi, Ascomycota, Sordariomycetes, Xylariales, Xylariaceae. The record is from the annotation of a GenBank genome assembly.